GGGCCCUACGGGAGGCAGCAGUGAGGAAUAUUGGUCAAUGGGCGAGAGCCUGAACCAGCCAAGUCGCGUGAAGGAUGACGGCCCUAUGGGUUGUAAACUUCUUUUGUCAGGGAGCAAUUGAGUCCACGUGUGGGCUUAGCGAGAGUACCUGAAGAAAAAGCAUCGGCUAACUCCGUGCCAGCAGCCGCGGCAAUACGUAGGGGGCAAGCGUUAUCCGGAUUUACUGGGUGU
This 231-nucleotide ribosomal RNA is filed under the name uncultured bacterium. RNAcentral describes it as "partial 16S ribosomal RNA". It matches the Rfam family "Bacterial small subunit ribosomal RNA", at positions 333 to 561 of the family's 1533-position model. The record is from RNAcentral.